RNAcentral lists this ribosomal RNA (362 nucleotides) under uncultured eukaryote. Its description in RNAcentral is "LSU rRNA". It matches the Rfam family "Bacterial large subunit ribosomal RNA", at positions 2120 to 2481 of the family's 2925-position model. The record is from RNAcentral.
AUUUCGGGCUUUAUUUGCGCAGGAUAGGUGGGAGGCUUUGAGAGUGUUUUUGAGGGAACAUUUGAGCCAUUGGUGAGAUACCACUCUUAUAAAGCUAGAAUUCUAACCUUAUACCGUUAGCCGGUUAAGGAACAGUCUCUGGUGGGCAGUUUGACUGGGGCGGUCGCCUCCUAAAAGGUAACGGAGGCGCACAAAGGUUUCCUCAGAUCGGUCAGAAAUCGAUCGUAGAGCGUAAAGGCAUAAGGAAGCUUGACUGCGAGACCUACAAGUCGAGCAGAGACGAAAGUCGGUCUUAGUGAUCUGACGGUUCCGAGUGGAAGGGCCGUCACUCAACGGAUAAAAGUUACUCUAGGGAUAACAGG